RNAcentral lists this ribosomal RNA (253 nucleotides) under uncultured bacterium. Its description in RNAcentral is "partial 16S ribosomal RNA". It matches the Rfam family "Bacterial small subunit ribosomal RNA", at positions 524 to 776 of the family's 1533-position model. The record is from RNAcentral.
UACGUAGGGGCCUAGCGUUGUCCGGAUUUAUUGGGCGUAAAGAGCUCGUAGGCGGCGCGGUAAGUCGGGUGUGAAAUCUCGGAGCUUAACUCCGAAACUGCAUUCGAUACUGCCGUGCUUGAGGACUGGAGAGGAGACUGGAAUUUACGGUGUAGCGGUGAAAUGCGUAGAUAUCGUAAGGAAGACCAGUGGCGAAGGCGGGUCUCUGGACAGUUCCUGACGCUGAGACACGAAGGCCAGGGGAGCAAACGGG